Molecule: long non-coding RNA, 1164 nt
Organism: Ornithorhynchus anatinus (platypus)
Lineage: Eukaryota; Metazoa; Chordata; Mammalia; Monotremata; Ornithorhynchidae
Exons: 2
Source: RefSeq, a predicted model, not a curated record
UAGGAAAAACCUUUGAAAUGUCAGAUCCGGUGGCCUGCCUGCAGUAGGGGCUGAAGGUCAAGCUCCAGAAGAUGCGGAGACACGGGGAACCGGGGAGCUUCAGGUUGUCUCAGUUGUCUGGUCUCAUUUUUGACAGGAGAUUCUAACUGAAAAAAAAGAAAAAUGAAGGGAAGAAGAAAGGUGGUAUGGGAGGGAGGGAGGGAGGAAGGAAGGAAGGGACCGGAUAAAUGAAGGAGGGAGAGAGACAGAAAGAGAGCAUGUAAAAAAGCUGCUUUAUUCCUUCAUUUGAGAGUGUGGUUCAUAUCUUUUUCAAAGUGUAAAAUUCCUAGAAUUGCUUAGCAAAAUGGGUAAUUUAUGAUCACGACUUGAGCAUUGGGUUGGUUAUGCUAGUUAGUUACCAAGUUAUGACUGUGUGACUUGUUAAAGUUUUACAAAGAUUUACAUUUACAGGGGAAAAUGUCCUUAUUUUUAGGUUAAUGAAGAAAUGGAAAAGAGAAAUGAAGUCCUUUUAAUAAAAUCACUAAAUGAAAUUAAAAAAGAAUUUCUUGCACUACAAAGCAAGAUAAGAUUGGACAGUGUAAGUAAUAUCGUCAAUCCUUUUUGGUUUACCCAGGCAAUUCAUCUUAAGAUGAACAAUUGCUUGGUAGUGAGGAUUUUCUUUCAUUAAAUGGGAAAAACCUUGGAAAUAUUUCAUCACACCAGAUUUUUUUUUCCCAAACGUGAAUGUUAUCACUAAAAGAAUGUGGUCAUGACUAUUCUUUCUCUCUUUAACAGAAAGAGUAAAAGAUGGGAAGUUUCCUCAUUUGUCUUCAGUUUGUGUAAUUUUGAAUGCUCUGAGAAGAAAGAACUUGUACCUAAGUAAUAUGAUAUAACUGUAACCAUUAGCUAAGGGAAUUGUCAGUUGUUGCUGUGCUUUAAAAACUUUCAAGUUCCUAAACCUGAAGUUUUAAAUAGGUAGUUAAUGAAAUGCUUGAAUCUCUAUAAUAGGGUCCGCCGGUGUAAACAAAAGAAUGUCUUAUGUAUAUUCACAUCUGAACUGUGUACUUUCGCUUAAAUAUUACUAACAUUGUAAAAAUGACUAAUGUUUUGGUAUUUGGUGAAUAUUUUUUCAACUUAAACAGUGAAAAAGCCUAUGUGGUGCCAAUAAAAUCUCGGUCGAUUUUA